UACGGAGGGGGCUAGCGUUGUUCGGAAUUACUGGGCGUAAAGCGCACGUAGGCGGCUGUUCAAGUCAGAGGUGAAAGCCUGGAGCUCAACUCCAGAACUGCCUUUGAAACUAGAUAGCUUGAACAAGGGAGAGGUGAGUGGAAUUCCGAGUGUAGAGGUGAAAUUCGUAGAUAUUCGGAAGAACACCAGUGGCGAAGGCGGCUCACUGGACCGUUGUUGACGCUGAGGUGCGAAAGCGUGGGGAGCAAACAGG
Molecule: ribosomal RNA, 253 nt
Filed under: uncultured bacterium
Lineage: Bacteria
Description: partial 16S ribosomal RNA
Rfam family: Bacterial small subunit ribosomal RNA
Source: RNAcentral